AUUCCAUGAUGUGGGCACUUCCUCAAUAACUCUUUGAACCUAUCCCAAGCAUAACACACCGAUUCAUGCUUCAACUAUUGAAAAGAAAUUAUCUCAUUUUGAAACU
Small nucleolar RNA from Humulus lupulus (European hop), 106 nucleotides. NCBI's taxonomy places the organism in Eukaryota, Viridiplantae, Streptophyta, Magnoliopsida, Rosales, Cannabaceae. The record is from RefSeq and is a predicted model, not a curated record.